Molecule: unclassified non-coding RNA, 431 nt
Filed under: plant metagenome
Description: partial contains 5.8S ribosomal RNA, internal transcribed spacer 2, and large subunit ribosomal RNA
Rfam family: 5.8S ribosomal RNA (bases 1-102)
Source: RNAcentral
AAACUGCGAUAAGUAGUGUGAAUUGCAUUUAGUGAAUCAUCGAAUCUUUGAACGCACCCUGCACUCACUGGUAUUCCGUUGAGUACGCCUGUUUCAGUAUCAUUGAAAACACACAAUCAAAACAUUUUCUUUGGUUUGAUUGGCUUUGGGUCUAUCAAAAAGUUUGGCUUGUUUCUUACAAGCCAAGCGGCCUGAAAUAUAUUGUCUGGCUAAUUGCAUCGUUGAUGAUCGCUAUUAGACUUUGGCUUUUUUAAAUGAACUGGAGGUUGAUUAACCAGUUUUAGCUUUAGUCAAAUGGUCAUUGUAAAAAAAAUCUCGAUCUUGGCUAGGUGUUUAUAGCCGAAAAUUUUUUUUUGGCUAUAACCGAAACCAAUAUAAUCACAUUUAGUUAUCGAUCUGAAAUCAGGUGGGACUACCCGCUGAACUUAAGC